RNAcentral lists this ribosomal RNA (468 nucleotides) under uncultured bacterium. Its description in RNAcentral is "partial 16S ribosomal RNA". It matches the Rfam family "Bacterial small subunit ribosomal RNA", at positions 28 to 507 of the family's 1533-position model. The record is from RNAcentral.
GACGAACGCUGGCGGCGUGCUUAACACAUGCAAGUCGAACGGAAAGGCCCUGCUUUUGUGGGGUGCUCGAGUGGCGAACGGGUGAGUAACACGUGAGUAACCUGCCCUUGACUUUGGGAUAACUUCAGGAAACUGGGGCUAAUACCGGAUAGGAGCUCCUGCUGCAUGGUGGGGGUUGGAAAGUUUCGGCGGUUGGGGAUGGACUCGCGGCUUAUCAGCUUGUUGGUGGGGUAGUGGCUUACCAAGGCUUUGACGGGUAGCCGGCCUGAGAGGUUGACCGGCCACAUUGGGACUGAGAUACGGCCCAGACUCCUACGGGAGGCAGCAGUGGGGAAUAUUGCACAAUGGGCGGAAGCCUGAUGCAGCAACGCCGCGUGCGGGAUGACGGCCUGCGGGUUGUAAACCGCUUUCGCCUGUGACGAAGCGUGAGUGACGGUAAUGGGUAAAGAAGCACCGGCUAACUACGUG